GAUGAAGAACGUAGCGAAAUGCGAUAAGUAAUGUGAAUUGCAGAAUUCAGUGAAUCAUCGAGUCUUUGAACGCACAUUGCGCCCCCUGGUAUUCCGGGGGGCAUGCCUGUCCGAGCGUCAUUGCUGCCCUCAAGCACGGCUUGUGUGUUGGGCCCCGUCCUCCGAUCCCGGGGGACGGGCCCGAAAGGCAGCGGCGGCACCGCGUCCGGUCCUCGAGCGUAUGGGGCUUUGUCACCCGCUCUGUAGGCCCGGCCGGCGCUUGCCGAUCAACCCAAAUUUUUAUCCAGGUUGACCUCGGAUCAGGUAGGGAUACCCGCUGAACUUAAGCAUAUCAUAAGCGGAGGA
RNAcentral lists this unclassified non-coding RNA (345 nucleotides) under soil metagenome. Its description in RNAcentral is "partial contains 5.8S ribosomal RNA, internal transcribed spacer 2, and large subunit ribosomal RNA". The stretch from base 1 to 120 matches the Rfam family "5.8S ribosomal RNA", at positions 35 to 154 of the family's 154-position model. The record is from RNAcentral.